RNAcentral lists this transfer RNA (76 nucleotides) under Salmonella enterica. RNAcentral's name for it is "tRNA-Asn". It matches the Rfam family "tRNA". From Rfam's summary of the family: Transfer RNA (tRNA) molecules are approximately 80 nucleotides in length. Their secondary structure includes four short double-helical elements and three loops (D, anti-codon, and T loops). Lineage: Bacteria; Pseudomonadati; Pseudomonadota; Gammaproteobacteria; Enterobacterales; Enterobacteriaceae. The record is from RNAcentral.
GGUUCUGUAGCUCAGCGGUUAGAGCGCUCGCCUGUUAAGUGAGGGGUCGUAGGUUCAAAUCCUACCAGUUCCGCCA